UUUUAAGAAGCUUUUUAAGAAGCGUCGAGCUUUUAACUCGAAGAAGGAUUAAUUCCCU
RNAcentral lists this transfer RNA (58 nucleotides) under Chelopistes texanus. RNAcentral describes it as "tRNA-Lys". The record is from RNAcentral. Lineage: Eukaryota; Metazoa; Arthropoda; Insecta; Psocodea; Philopteridae.